Molecule: transfer RNA, 88 nt
Filed under: Deltaproteobacteria bacterium
Lineage: Bacteria; Pseudomonadati; Myxococcota; Myxococcia
Also listed under: 1 other name
Description: tRNA-Leu
Rfam family: tRNA
About the family: Transfer RNA (tRNA) molecules are approximately 80 nucleotides in length. Their secondary structure includes four short double-helical elements and three loops (D, anti-codon, and T loops). Further hydrogen bonds mediate the characteristic L-shaped molecular structure. tRNAs have two regions of fundamental functional importance: the anti-codon, which is responsible for specific mRNA codon recognition, and the 3' end, to which the tRNAs corresponding amino acid is attached (by aminoacyl-tRNA synthetases). tRNAs cope with the degeneracy of the genetic code in two manners: having more than one tRNA (with a specific anti-codon) for a particular amino acid; and 'wobble' base-pairing, i.e. permitting non-standard base-pairing at the 3rd anti-codon position.
Source: RNAcentral
GCCGGAGUGGUGAAAUUGGUAGACGCAGAGGACUCAAAAUCCUCCGGGCUUUGCGCCCAUGUCGGUUCAACUCCGACCUCCGGCACCA